RNAcentral lists this ribosomal RNA (497 nucleotides) under uncultured bacterium. RNAcentral describes it as "partial 16S ribosomal RNA". It matches the Rfam family "Bacterial small subunit ribosomal RNA", at positions 28 to 507 of the family's 1533-position model. The record is from RNAcentral.
GAUGAACGCUGGCGGCGUGCCUAAUACAUGCAAGUCGAGCGAACGGACGAGAAGCUUGCUUCUCUGAUGUUAGCGGCGGACGGGUGAGUAACACGUGGAUAACCUACCUAUAAGACUGGGAUAACUUCGGGAAACCGUAGCUAAUACCGGAUAAUAUUUUGAACCGCAUGGUUCAAUAGUGAAAGACGGUCUUGCUGUCACUUAUAGAUGGAUCCGCGCUGCAUUAGCUAGUUGGUAAGGUAACGGCUUACCAAGGCAACGAUGCAUAGCCGACCUGAGAGGGUGAUCGGCCACACUGGAACUGAGACACGGUCCAGGCUCCUACGGGAGGCAGCAGUAGGGAAUCUUCCGCAAUGGGCGAAAGCCUGACGGAGCAACGCCGCGUGAGUGAUGAAGGUCUUCGGAUCGUAAAACUCUGUUAUUAGGGAAGAACAUAUGUGUAAGUAACUGUGCACAUCUUGACGGUACCUAAUCAGAAAGCCACGGCUAACUACGUG